AUACGGAGGAUCCGAGCGUUAUCCGGAUUUAUUGGGUUUAAAGGGUGCGCAGGCGGCCAUUUAAGUCAGCGGUUAAAUCGUGGGGCUCAACCCCAUUCUGCCGUUGAUACUGGGUGGCUUGAUUGCGGUCGAGGUUGGCGGAAUUCGUUGUGUAGCGGUGAAAUGCAUAGAUAUGACGAAGAACACCGAUUGCGUAGGCAGCUGACCAGACCGCAAAUGACGCUCAUGCACGAAAGUGCGGGGAUCGAACAGGAUCAGAUACCCUGGUAGUCCGCACAGUAAACGAUGAAUACUUGUUCUCGGCGAUAUAAUGUCGGAGGCAAAGCGAAAGCGAUAAGUAUUCCACCUGGGGAGUACGCCGGCAACGGUGAAACUCAAAUGAAUUGACGGGG
This 392-nucleotide ribosomal RNA is filed under the name uncultured bacterium. RNAcentral's name for it is "partial 16S ribosomal RNA". It matches the Rfam family "Bacterial small subunit ribosomal RNA", at positions 523 to 918 of the family's 1533-position model. The record is from RNAcentral.